UAAAGUUUCCUUGAGAACAAUGUGGUUGAGCAACGCGAACAAAUCAUCAAUGUAAAUUUCAGCGGAUUCGUUACGACGUGUCUCACCACAUCGUUAGUAGGAUUUCAGAA
This is a microRNA precursor of Caenorhabditis elegans, 110 nucleotides long. Lineage: Eukaryota; Metazoa; Nematoda; Chromadorea; Rhabditida; Rhabditidae. The record is from Ensembl.